CGGGGUGUAGCGCAGCUUGGUAGCGCAUCUGCUUUGGGAGCAGAGGGUCGGGAGUUCGAAUCUCUCCACCCCGACCA
This 77-nucleotide transfer RNA is filed under the name Gammaproteobacteria bacterium. RNAcentral describes it as "tRNA-Pro". It matches the Rfam family "tRNA". Rfam says of the family: Transfer RNA (tRNA) molecules are approximately 80 nucleotides in length. Their secondary structure includes four short double-helical elements and three loops (D, anti-codon, and T loops). The record is from RNAcentral. Lineage: Bacteria; Pseudomonadati; Pseudomonadota; Gammaproteobacteria.